RNAcentral lists this non-coding RNA (26 nucleotides) under Mus musculus (house mouse). Lineage: Eukaryota; Metazoa; Chordata; Mammalia; Rodentia; Muridae. The record is from RNAcentral.
UAGCAUGUAUGAUAUUCAGCAGUCAA